RNAcentral lists this long non-coding RNA (279 nucleotides) under Arabidopsis lyrata. RNAcentral describes it as "long non-coding RNA (ALYR_LNC002995)". The record is from RNAcentral. Lineage: Eukaryota; Viridiplantae; Streptophyta; Magnoliopsida; Brassicales; Brassicaceae.
UUCAGAACCAUUUGCAGCAGCAGCAGCAGCGACAACUCCAGACCAAGUAAGUAAAAUAUAUGAUCCAAUCAAAUUGACCUUUUAUGCUAAGAACCAAGUACCCAUUUCUUGAUUUGAGCAAAUUAACAUCAAAUUGACCUUUUAUGCUAAGAACCAAGUACCCAUUUCUUGAUUUGAGCAAAUUAACAUCAAAUUUGGUAUAAGAACAAAAAAAGAAUCGACCUUUAAGCUCAAAAUCAAGUACCCAUUUCACAAAAACCGAUUUAUUAUAUCUCAGCU